AGUCGUAACAAGGUUUCCGUAGGUGAACCUGCGGAAGGAUCAUUACCGAGUGAGGGCCCUCUGGGUCCAACCUCCCACCCGUGUCUAUCGUACCUUGUUGCUUCGGCGGGCCCGCCGUUUCGACGGCCGCCGGGGAGGCCUUGCGCCCCCGGGCCCGCGCCCGCCGAAGACCCCAACAUGAACGCUGUUCUGAAAGUAUGCAGUCUGAGUUGAUUAUCGUAAUCAGUUAAAACUUUCAACAACGGAUCUCUUGGUUCCGGCAUCGAUGAAGAACGCAGCGAAAUGCGAUAAGUAAUGUGAAUUGCAGAAUUCAGUGAAUCAUCGAGUCUUUGAACGCACAUUGCGCCCCCUGGUAUUCCGGGGGGCAUGCCUGUCCGAGCGUCAUUGCUGCCCUCAAGCACGGCUUGUGUGUUGGGCCCCCGUCCCCCUCUCCCGGGGGACGGGCCCGAAAGGCAGCGGCGGCACCGCGUCCGGUCCUCGAGCGUAUGGGGCUUUGUCACCUGCUCUGUAGGCCCGGCCGGCGCCAGCCGACACCCAACUUUAUUUUUCUAAGGUUGACCUCGGAUCAGGUAGGGAUACCCGCUGAACUUAAGCAUAUCAAUAAGCGGAGGA
This 612-nucleotide unclassified non-coding RNA is filed under the name Aspergillus fumigatus. RNAcentral describes it as "sequence contains 18S rRNA gene, ITS1, 5.8S rRNA gene, ITS2, 28S rRNA gene". The stretch from base 231 to 384 matches the Rfam family "5.8S ribosomal RNA". Lineage: Eukaryota; Fungi; Ascomycota; Eurotiomycetes; Eurotiales; Aspergillaceae. The record is from RNAcentral.